RNAcentral lists this long non-coding RNA (6204 nucleotides) under Gallus gallus (chicken). The record is from RNAcentral. Lineage: Eukaryota; Metazoa; Chordata; Aves; Galliformes; Phasianidae.
GCCUUCCAUCAAGAGGCAGAACAGAGAGAGAGAGAGAAUUUGGCUCUGUCGUAGUAAUGCAGGGUGAGGGAUGCAGGACAGAGGAGUGUGGCAGAAGCACUAGGAUGAUAAUUUUUGCACAGCUAGAAAUGCAAAAGAUCCUAGUGUGACUUGGAUGCUUGGAUGUAAAUGAAUAUCUUGCAGCAGUUACACAAAACUGAUGCGGUAACAACAACCCAGAGCCUGCUCUGCCAACAGCCCAUCUCCUUCUCCAAAGCUUCACCACCCAUGUGGGCCCUGACCUUUGACGUCUGCAGAUGGACCUCGCGCUCCUCAGCUCACACCUGUUGGUAGCCAGAGCCAACAAGAGUCAGGAGCAGCACCAGAAGAUCUCUUGGGAUAAGGAUGGUGAGCUGAAGGGCAAUGAAGUCAUACUUAGAGCACUGACAGGACCCUACCAAUCAGGUUAUACAUAUUCUUACAUACAGUCCUGUAUCUUUGUUCUUCCACUUGAUUUCAUCCAGUUAUCUCACUUCAUAUGGAGAGACAAUGCAUGGUGGAGAUGAUCAGCAAUUGGACAGAAAUUCUGUAGAUUAGACUAAAGUUCUACACUAGAGGUGCAACUAAGUCAUGCCAUGUGCAGCAGCCUGGAUUGCUGAUUGCCUCCUGAGACUUGCAGGCUGUGAUUUGUUUCCCCUUACUCCACCCAAAAAGAGAGAAUCUUUGGAAAAAAAAUGUGAAUCUGAGACCUUAUGUGUGUAUAAAUGCAUCUUCAUGUAUGUAAAGAGAUUGCUGAGGCAGCUGAGAGGAGGGAACGAAUGAAGACUGUUAUGAAACAGUUUUAUUCCUUUGACUCAUUGGGAGAGAGAUUUGAAGUUUUAGACAAAGUGGCACUGGACAAGUGUCUAUAGUUUUGAAGUAUGGAGGAAAAUGUUUUUAAAAAGUGUCUCCAUGUGGGGAACAUUCAACUGGAUUUGUACAUAGGAUUACACACACCAUGCAGGUGUCACAGAAGAUGAUGAAUGAUGAAGGAAGUGGGGAGAAUGAAUAGAGGAAUACAUACUAAAACACCUGGAAAAUGUCACUGAGAGAAUGUAUAAUGCUUUUUGUGUGAGUGUGUGUGUGUGUGUCUCUUUUCUAAGAAAAAUGCUAUGUGAACUCCAAAGUGCAACUACAGGGGGUACAUUGUAGACCUGAGUUUGCACUGAAAUAUCAUUCCAUUUAGAAGAUCAUCUGGUUUCCAACUACAAGCACCAGACUGCAUUAGUAUGCUUCUGUAUUUUUUUUUUCCAUUGAAAAAGUUAAGAAACAAGUUUCAUACCUCAUGAAAAUAGGAAUAAAAAUACAGUGUAGAAGUUCUCAGCUCCAACGCGAAAUGUACCAUGGAUCAACUGCAUAAUUUUCAGAAAAUAAUGGUGUCAUUAGCAAUAAGUACGGAUAUCCUCUCCUUUCUAAUAAUUGACAUUUUGAAUUAGUGGAUUCAGUGAAUUUAUCUAAGAACAACCAAAAAGAGCAAAAACGUAAAACACUUAGUGGAGUGCAUCUCAUCAGGACCCGUAGUCUAAUGGAUGAUCAAGUUCCUCGAGUGGUCACGAGCCUGAUCUUCACUUCCACUAUCCCCUCCUACCAAACCAAACAUGUGAGGGCUGUGUGGUGAGCAGUUAUUAGAGAAGAUCGAGGCAAAAGUACUGUAAAGUACCUCAGCCACCUUCUUGUCUGUUGUUACCAGCUUGUCUGUGUCACUCACUAGGCAGGGUAUGCCCUCCUGGACUUUCCUUUCCUGGUUGAGGUAAUUGUAGAAGCCUUUCUUGUUCACCUUGGCAUCCCUUGCCAAGUUUAUUUCAAGCUGGGCCUUGGCUUUCCUGACCCCAUCCCUUCAUAACCUAGCAGCUUCCUUAGAGUUUUCUCACGGUACACGUCCCAGUUUCCACUGCUUGUGCAUUUUCUUAUUGCUCUUCAGUUUGACCAUCAGGUCCUGGUUCAGUCACCCCAAUCUCUUGCCUUUCUUUCCUGACUUGCUGCACCUAGGCAUGGAGAACUCUUGCAUGCUAAGGAAAGCCUCCUCAAAGAACUGCCAGCUCUGCUCUGAAACCUUACCCAUGAGGGCAUUUUGUUGACUAACUCUCUAAAGAGCUGGAAUUUAGCUUUCCUAAAAUUUAGCUUCCUAAUUUUACUCUUUGCCUGUCUCAUAUCCCUCUGGAGCAUGAACUCAACCAUUGCAUGGUCACUACAGCCCAGGCAGCCUCCAAUCCUGAUGUCACCAAUCAGUUCAUUUGCACUGGUGAGCAACAAGUCCAGUAUUGCAUCCCCCCUAGUAGGGUCUUCUAUUGCUUGACUCAGGAAGUUAUCCUCAACGAAUUCCAGAAGCCUUCUGGAUUGCCUACAUCUCACCAUGCUACUUUUCCAGCAGAUGUCUGCAUUGUUGAAUUCCCCCUGCAGGACAAGUGCUUACAUCUGCUAUUGCUGGAGGUGGAGGGCCUCAUCAACAUUCUCUGCUUGAUCAGGUGGCCUGUAAUAGACACCAGUCACAAGGCUCCCUUUGCUGCCUUGGUCUCUAGCUGUCACCCAUAGGCUUUGAACUUGCUCAUGACUAUUCUUUAGGGACAGCUCUUCAUAUUCUAUUCUAUUCUACAUCUUUUCCUGAUGUAGAUAGCAACACCUCCUCCUUUCCUUCCUCACCUGUCCCUUCUGAACAGCAUGUAGUCAUCAAUAGCCAUGCUUCAGUCAUGGGAUUCAUUCUACCAGCUUUCAAUGACGGCAACUAUAUCAUGUUUUUCUAACAGCACUUUAGCUUUCAGCUCCUCCUGUUUGUUUCCCAAGCUGCAUGCAUUAGUCUAGAGGCACUGCAGCUGGGCAGCUGGUCUUGUCACCCCAUUAAAGAAUAACUCCUUGAUUCCUUUUAAGUAUUUCCCUUAAUUUUCCCCACUGUCUUCUCCUAUUGCCCCAGCAGCCACUGCCUCAUCAUCAUAGGAUUUCGUAUGUGCUGCAGUGUUGCCAGCACCUCUCAAUGCACUCAUCUCCAAGAUACACCGACAAUUCUGUGUAAUAAAAAAAUGUAGUAAUUAAAGAAAUAACUUGAAAACAUAACCAAAAAAAAAAGCAAAUACAUUUUUUAUGUAUUACUGUUUGAUGAGAUAAAUAUAAAAAUUUAUUUUUUAUACAACAAACCAACAUUUUAAUGUUAUGAUCUUUAGAAAAGUUAAUUACUAUUUCAUUCCACUUGUCUAGGUUUGACAAGUUUCAAAAUACCCACAUAUCAUACAAUAAAGCUCCUGCUUUGCUACUAACAUCAUGGGAAAUUUGCUUAUAGGCACUUUGUCAAUCCCUGUAGUUUGAGUCAGCAAAACCCACUCAUUCAUGUUUCUCAUGAGCCUUUCCCCUUUCCCCUCUCCUCCCCCUCCUCUCCAACUGUCUCAAACAAAAAGCUGGCUCUAUGUUUUCAGUGUACUGUGAACUGUUUCAUUGCUGGUGGUUAAAAAGAAAGGAAGUCAAACCUUAGUAGGAAUUUAUAGAGUGGUAAUAAAUCCUGUAUAUGCCAUCCACAUGCUCUUCAAACCUAUUCAUGUAACCUCUGUUUUUUUGUUUUGUUCUGGGAUAAAAAGCAUGGACUCUGACAAAUGCAACUACUUGAAAGAAGGAAAAUCCCUACUGUGCUCCCCAUGCUAUCUUUGUAACAAGAGAUUAGGGGGUGGGAGUGUAGCUCACCAAAGCAACCUAAAGCCUGUGAAGCUGGAAACCAUAGAUGACACAAACCAUUCUGUUGUUGUCAAAUGUAACAAUAAGCUAAAGAAAGGCCCAAUGAAAAGGAGCCGUGACAGGGCAUAGUUACACAGACUGGUACAGGAGAGUAACUCUAACUUAAUCCAUUAUUAUGGAACACCGGAAGAGGCUGCCCAGAGAGGCUGUGGGGUCUCUUUAUCUGGAGGUAUUCAAGACACCUGUGGACACCUACAUGUGUUACCUGCUGAAGGGAAACAUCUUUAGCAGCGGGGUUGGUCUGGGUGAUCUCUAGAGGUCCCUUCCAACAGCUGCGAUUCUGUGACUCUGUGAUACAGAGUGGUGGUAGUUAUGAUGUCUCGCCUUUAAAGUAGAAUAGAAUUGUGAGAGAACUACACCAUCUCCACUGACAUCAAAGUUUGGUCCAAAGUUUGGCUCAAUUAGAAGGCAAAGAAAGAAUGUUUGCAGUCCUUGUUUUGUGCUAAUGAAUAUUUGGGAGAAAACGUAAACUCCAUUCACAGUUCCGGUAUCUAUUUUGGUAUUGCACAGACAACCAAAAUUGACUCUACCUCACCAACUGAGGGCUUGUCUGUUCAGAGAGAGUUAUAGCAUUCACAUUUAGAGAAGGACUUGUACUUGGAAGAGAGCAGAGGGAGAAUAUGUGCCUGCUGUGUUUGUGCUCAGGGAACCCCCGGCUGGCACUGUUGCUGGGACUAGUGCCAGGGCAGGAGGCUGAGGGGUCAGAUUUGCACUGGAGGCAUAAAAAGUAAAAACAAACUUUGUAUUACUUACUGAUUAUGUGCAAUGCUUGAUAAAGCAUUUAGUAAAUUGUCUUUUGUAUGCAUAAUUCUCAGAACUAUUCUAAUAAGCAACAGAGACAGUGCUAGAUAAAUCCAUCAGCCCUUCCAUUCUGACGAUUUUGAUAGCAGGCUGAAGGACUGAACACUUCAUCAGAGAAUGUAUCUGAAGUGAGAAGGUAAGCAUACAGUCUGUUUCAGUCCACAAAAAACAGGCAUUGGGAAAUGGGAAAUAUGAACUUUGCACCUUGGUUGACAGGCUUGAUAGCCCACAAAGGGACUUUGUGACGGCCCAUAGGAUAGAGCUGCAUUUUUCCAGGAAUAUUCCCUUCCUUUCCUCUUGUCCCAUACAUAGCAUAUUUUUUUCUAUUCUGAAAGGUAUCAGGCAGAGAUCCUACAGAUAGCAAAACCAUUAUUAAAAAAAAAAAAAAAAAAAGAAAUUGUUUACUUAUUUUAAAUUUUGAAGUAAAAAAUGAUUUUUGACUUGUGCGUAUUCAUUCAUCAGCUUCAAAACAGUGUUCACUGUGUUCUCAUUUCCUUUCAAAUAGUUGAACUCACCGAUCAAUUGAUAGCUGUAAUGAGUUGCUAUCAUCUUUGCAAUAGCCAUGACAGGGAGUUGACACUACUUGCCAAUAAGCUUCAUUGGAGCUAUUUUCGAAGGAGUGAAGAAGUAAAGUGCCAGAACACUCUUACUGAACAUCACAGAUAGCCGACGGGCAGAACUGUUCCAAUACACACUAUUUUGGAUUGUUUCAGCAUAAAAUUAGCUCUGGCUUUCACUGUUAUAUGCUGUCACUAGAAGUACUGAUGCUCAGACAUGAGGAUCCGUGUUUUAGUUUUAAGGGGGACUAUGCUUUAUCGGAUACUGACUGACAUCUUGGAACUUUCUUUUUCCUAGGGGAAGGUUUCUUCUCAUUUCCCCACAACCAUGCUUGUUCCAAAGCCCUCUGCUCUUCCAGUUCCCCAGUCUGGUGUUCCCCUCACAUGUCCUGUUUCCAGACUUGCUCAGUAAGCCUGUGCUUUUUUCUCAGAGACUUUUACCAGUAUAAUUUCUUCCCAUUCCAUCUUUCAGCUCCAAUCUCCUCAGCCACAGUGUCUCUUAAAACACCUCUCACAAUCUUUGGCCUGGUCAACCCCCCCUUAUGCCCAAAAAGAUGACUGUUCUCCAGUCCUCCUCCAAAUUUAUUCUCUUCAUUUCCACAUUUCCUUUCUGGGCAUAGUACAGCCUUGCAAACAUCUCCUCACACACAAACUGUAUUCUUAUGCUUUCUUUUGGCCUUUCUUGUCUUCUUUUCCCUGUCAGUCUUUUCCCAAAAUCUUCAUGCUUUCUCAGCUGCCUCUUACACUUCCUUUGAAUCCACUUCAGACGAUUUCUGACUGUCCCAUACACUUCUUUUUUCUUGUCUCUCCAACACUAGCUUCUCCUCCUGCCUCAUUUCCUCCACUUGGCUCCUGAUCAUGAGCCCCUGUAGCACUGCUGCUCCAGGAAUCAGAGUUACCCAUGACUAAGCCCUGGUUCUGCAGCUCACGCAAAGUACUGUUUAGAAGACUUCCUCGUGUGUAUUCCCAUUUUGGUUGCCAGCAGAGCAGUGUCUGGAAGCCGCAGCUGGAGUAGAAACAGAGGGGUGGUGCUGGGGAGCUUAGCAGAUUUGGACUGGCUUCAAACUUCAUUCAAUGAAGCAUAGGGAGGCAAUUAAUGGGGAAGCCUGGC